Molecule: ribosomal RNA, 156 nt
Filed under: Aspergillus sp. H1
Lineage: Eukaryota; Fungi; Ascomycota; Eurotiomycetes; Eurotiales; Aspergillaceae
Description: 5.8S ribosomal RNA
Rfam family: 5.8S ribosomal RNA
About the family: 5.8S ribosomal RNA (5.8S rRNA) is a component of the large subunit of the eukaryotic ribosome. It is transcribed by RNA polymerase I as part of the 45S precursor that also contains 18S and 28S rRNA. Functionally, it is thought that 5.8S rRNA may be involved in ribosome translocation.
Source: RNAcentral
AACUUUCAACUACGGAUCUCUUGGUUCCGGCAUCGAUGAAGAACGCAGCGAAAUGCGAUAACUAAUGUGAAUUGCAGAAUUCAGUGAAUCAUCGAGUCUUUGAACCCCCAUUGCGCCCCCUGGUAUUCCGGGGGGCAUGCCUGUCCGAGCGUCAUU